AUGUUCUUCAUUACAGAAGUAAAGCAUGAAUCAGUCCUAUAGAUGGAUAAUCAAGAGCUUUUAAGAGCAGAUUUUAAAUUGUGUUAUUGAUAAUUUAAGAUAUGUAUUGGCUUUUAGCAGGAGGAAUACUAUGUUGCAUCCAUGCAUCAUACUCAGCUAUGCUCUCCAUCAGAGCCUUGUAUAUUGUUGGCCUAAACAGCACUGAGUUCCCAAACUUAACUCUUUAUGAGAUGGUAGAUGAGCUGGAACUGUAUCACUAUGACAGCAAUAAUAUGUCAUUUAUUCCACAGUAUGAGUGGUUAAAAAUAUUGAAGAUCAGCAGUUCUGGACAUUUCAGAAUAAUCUCUUAUAUUAUCUGAAGGAUCUUAGCAACAAUGCAAUGAAAACUGUAAUGGGACUUUUCAAUCAAACAUCUGGUGUUCAUUUUCUUCAAGGGAUGGCUGGAUGUGAUAUAAAUGGAAGCUCAUUUGCUGUUUUAGGGUAUGAUGGGAAUGACUUGCUCUUAUUUAAUACAACCUCACUGAAAUGUACUGCUGCUCAACAGGAAGUAAAGGUUCUUGAAGAUAUUUGUAACGUUCGCUUAUUUCUGUACAAUUUUGGAAGCAGUCUGUUUUGGAUUGUUACAGCAGAUUACUAUUUUUGGGGCAAAAACACUGAAUAAGCAA
Molecule: long non-coding RNA, 665 nt
Organism: Polypterus senegalus (gray bichir)
Lineage: Eukaryota; Metazoa; Chordata; Cladistia; Polypteriformes; Polypteridae
Exons: 3
Source: RefSeq, a predicted model, not a curated record